GAUGAAGAACGUAGCGAAAUGCGAUAAGUAAUGUGAAUUGCAGAAUUCAGUGAAUCAUCGAAUCUUUGAACGCACAUUGCGCCCCUUGGUAUUCCGAGGGGCAUGCCUGUUCGAGCGUCAUUAUAACCCCUCAAGCUCAGCUUGGUGUUGGGGCCUGCUGCACUGGCAGCCCUUAAAAUCAGUGGCGGCGCCAUCUGGCUCUAAGCGUAGUAAUUCUUCUCGCUAUGGAGUCCUGGUGGAUGCUUGCCAUCAACCCCCAAUUUUUCUAUGGUUGACCUCGGAUCAGGUAGGGAUACCCGCUGAACUUAAGCAUAUCAAUUAAGCGGAGGA
This 330-nucleotide unclassified non-coding RNA is filed under the name soil metagenome. RNAcentral describes it as "partial contains 5.8S ribosomal RNA, internal transcribed spacer 2, and large subunit ribosomal RNA". The stretch from base 1 to 120 matches the Rfam family "5.8S ribosomal RNA", at positions 35 to 154 of the family's 154-position model. The record is from RNAcentral.